CGGAGGGCGCAAGCGUUGUUCGGAAUUACUGGGCGUAAAGCGCGCGCAGGCGGGAGGGUAAGUCUGGAGUGAAAUUCCGGGGCUCAACUCCGGAGCUGCUUUGGAUACUGUCUUUCUAGGGACCGGUAGAGGCCGGUGGAAUUCCCGGUGUAGCGGUGGAAUGCGUAGAGAUCGGGAAGAACACCCGUGGCGAAGGCGGCCGGCUGGGCCGGGUCCGACGCUGAGGCGCGAAAGCGUGGGGAGCAAACAGGAUUAGAUACCCUGGUAGUCCACGCUGUAAACGAUGGGCACUAGGUGCCGGGGGGAGCGACCCCGUCGGUGCCGCAGCUAACGCGAUAAGUGCCCCGCCUGGGGAGUACGGCCGCAAGGCUG
Molecule: ribosomal RNA, 372 nt
Filed under: uncultured organism
Description: bacterial SSU rRNA
Rfam family: Bacterial small subunit ribosomal RNA
Source: RNAcentral